UCAGAUUCACAUGUUUACAUGUUGUAUAUGGUUCCAAAAGGUAUCUGGAAAGUAAAGAAAGUGAGAAGAAUGAGGGGCCAGCAGCAGCAAACAGUAUCAGUAGUAAUGCAACAGUGUUAGCAGCUGAAUUGAACCCAGACUUCCAAAGAAAAACCAGCUCCAGGCGACUCAAAUCAGACCUCUAACCCUCACUCAAGCCAUUUCUUCACCCAGAUACAACUUUAGAAUUUUUCAGAAAAAUUGUAACUUAACAACAGAUUCAAAAAACUAAAAACCAAAAUCAAAACUAGUUCAAGCAAUUUUCAGCAUUUUUUCGAAAUUUCAGAAAGAGAUCAGUUGGUUCUAAAACUCAGUCUUUAUUUUAGCUUUUUCAGUCAGUCGUUCUUGAAUUUUUCCAGAACUUUUUCCUCCUAAAAGCCUCCUUGAAUGCCAAGUUAAAGAGCCUUUAUAGGCAAGUCAUUUAGGGCAGCUUCAAAGUAUCAGUUUUACACCUUGCCCCUUUCAAUAUUUCCAUUUUAGCUUAGCAAACCUUAGUCAAUUUUUUAUUUUGCUUAACUACCCUUAGUUCAAAUGUCAGAAUUUCAGAAUAGUCCCCCUCCCCAGCUUCCCAGAAGCUUCCCAUUCAGUUACACAAUAUUUUCCUAGCCUAAAAUUCCCAAAUUGCCCCCAUGAGCCCCUGUUAUUACCCCUGAAACCAAAACCAAUAUGGGUCAAAGUUGACCCUAGGUUGAAUUAAUUCAAAACCCAGCCCAAACCAUGAGCCUGUACUAACAGCCCACUCUAAACUUAAUAGAAAUCUUCCAAACAGACCAACCCCUUGAAACUCAGCAGAAAACAAAAAUUCACUUAGAGAUGCUCGGAAAGCAGUUAUUUAGCUAUUAAGACGACUGAUUAAUCACAUUAUACCCAGGAUAUUGAUAUGCUAACCCGUUUGAUUUAACUUAAAAUUAAACUUAAAAUAAAGGGAAAUAAGGCUCAGAACCAUGGCUUUAAACAUUAACAAGAAUAAAAAGAAAAGAAACGGAAGAAGGUCGGUCCAAACAUAAAGCAGACGACAGAAACGAAAGAACAAAGAACAAAUACCUCGAUGGCCAUACGGACAGGGCUUGGUAAACUCAACGAUUCCAACUUGACUCGAAACUGGUAUUAAUCGUAUGUUCCUUUUGAGAACAAACGAGUAAUACUCGUUUCAAGCCCAAUCGUUCAUCAGAACUCGAGGACUUGAGAUGCUUUCUUCUCCUUUGAUUUCAGAUUUGAAACAGGUCCGAUUUGGUGAGGAUUUUGGGAAAAAUGGUGAUGGAUUAGGAUGCAGGGAGGGGUGAUGGUUGCAUGGCCAAAUUUUGGUGGUGAUUGAAGUUAUUUCGCCGGCGAUAAUGGCAGCUUGCUUGGAGAUGGCGUUAUCUGAUGAGGGAGGCGAGGGGAGGGUUUGUUUUGUCUUAGGUCUCAAUGGGGAAUUUCGGAUAGUCUUAUUCGAGAUGGGGG
Molecule: long non-coding RNA, 1482 nt
Filed under: Nicotiana tabacum (common tobacco)
Lineage: Eukaryota; Viridiplantae; Streptophyta; Magnoliopsida; Solanales; Solanaceae
Description: long non-coding RNA (NTAB_LNC003383)
Source: RNAcentral